GCACCAUUAGCUCAGCCGGUAGAGCAGCUGACUCUUAAUCAGCGGGUCAUAGGUUCGAUCCCUAUAUGGUGUACCA
This 76-nucleotide transfer RNA is filed under the name Bacillota bacterium. Its description in RNAcentral is "tRNA-Lys". It matches the Rfam family "tRNA". Rfam says of the family: Transfer RNA (tRNA) molecules are approximately 80 nucleotides in length. Their secondary structure includes four short double-helical elements and three loops (D, anti-codon, and T loops). Lineage: Bacteria; Bacillati; Bacillota. The record is from RNAcentral. RNAcentral also lists the same sequence under 1 other name.